This 736-nucleotide ribosomal RNA is filed under the name uncultured Acidobacteriota bacterium. Its description in RNAcentral is "bacterial SSU rRNA". It matches the Rfam family "Bacterial small subunit ribosomal RNA", at positions 28 to 739 of the family's 1533-position model. The record is from RNAcentral. Lineage: Bacteria; Pseudomonadati; Acidobacteriota.
AACGAACGCUGGCGGCGUGCCUAACACAUGCAAGUCGAGCGCGAACGAUCCCUUCGGGGAUCUAGUAGAGCGGCGAACGGGUGAGUAACGCGUGGGUAACCUGCCCUUUGGUGGGGAAUAACUCCGGGAAACUGGGGCUAAUGCCGCAUCAGCUCCUUGUCCCUGCGGGGACUUGGAGGAAAGCAUGCCUCUGCUUCAAGCAUGCGCCAGAGGAGGGGCCCGCGUCCCAUUAGCUUGUUGGUGGGGUAAUGGCCUACCAAGGCGACGAUGGGUAGCCGGCCUGAGAGGGUGUCCGGCCACACUGGGACUGAGACACGGCCCAGACUCCUACGGGAGGCAGCAGUGGGGAAUAUUGCGCAAUGGGCGAAAGCCUGACGCAGCGACGCCGCGUGGGGGAUGACGGUCUUCGGAUUGUAAACCCCUGUCGUACGGGACGAACAACCUGGGGAUGAAUAAGCCUCAGGCCUGACGGUACCGUGCAAGAAAGCCCCGGCUAACUCCGUGCCAGCAGCCGCGGUAAUACGGAGGGGGCAAGCGUUGUUCGGAAUCACUGGGCGUAAAGGGUCCGUAGGCGGCCGCAUAAGUCCCGGGUGAAAGCCCUGGGCUCAACUCAGGAAUUGCCCUGGAAACUGUGCGGCUAGAGUUCGGUAGAGGAAGACGGAAUUCCCGGUGUAGCGGUGAAAUGCGUAGAUAUCGGGAGGAACAUCUGUGGCGAAGGCGGUCUUCUGGGCCGAUA